Molecule: ribosomal RNA, 440 nt
Filed under: uncultured bacterium
Lineage: Bacteria
Description: partial 16S ribosomal RNA
Rfam family: Bacterial small subunit ribosomal RNA
Source: RNAcentral
CCUACGGGGGGCAGCAGUGGGGAAUAUUGCACAAUGGGGGAAACCCUGAUGCAGCGACGCCGCGUGAGUGAAGAAGUAUUUCGGUACGUAAAGCUCUAUCAGCAGGGAAGAAAAUGACGGUACCUGACUAAGAAGCCCCGGCUAACUACGUGCCAGCAGCCGCGGUAAUACGUAGGGGGCACGCGUUAUCCGGAUUCACUGGGGGUAAAGGGAGCGUAGACGGCGGGACAAAUCGGGAGUGAAAGGCCUGGGCCCAACCCCGGGACUGCUCUGGAAACUGCCGGGCUGGAGUGCUGGAGGGGUAAGGGGAAUUCCGGGUGGAGCGGUGAAAUGCGUAGAUAUAAGGAGGAACACCAGUGGCGAAGGCGGCUUACUGGACAGUAACUGACGUUGAGGCGCGAAAGCGUGGGGAGCAAACAGGAUUAGAUACCCGAGUAGUC